GCCUCGGUAGCUCAGUCGGCAGAGCGCGUGCCUUUUAACCCCGUGGCCGCGGGUUCGAGCCACGCCCUAGGUG
This 73-nucleotide transfer RNA is filed under the name Perkinsus olseni. It matches the Rfam family "tRNA". Rfam says of the family: Transfer RNA (tRNA) molecules are approximately 80 nucleotides in length. The record is from Rfam by way of RNAcentral. Lineage: Eukaryota; Perkinsozoa; Perkinsida; Perkinsidae.